UUUCUCCACCUGUAAAGUGGACAGCCUCAUGCCCCUUCUGAGUCAGCAGCAGCCAACAGAAACGCCUUCCCCAGAGGUUCCCUCUCAUACUUAGUCUCCAUAUAUAUAGUUUUAAGAUAUAUCACACAUGUUCUAUAUAAUAGCUAAAAGCCAGACUCGCUGAGGAAAGUAGAAAUAGAAGUUAGCAUGCAAAUCCGGAGAUUUUCUAAUCAUGUGUGGUGAAUUUCAGUUGGAUUUCUUGACAGAAGACUGUUCAGCAGAGCUGGCUGCGUGGUGGAGACCUCACAGGCGCCCCACUACAGGCUCUUUCUGACCACAACCUGAACCCGGUGACUGAAAGCAAGCAAAUUUCACCUACUCCUCAGCGCGUGCAAGACCCUGGAGAGAGCGUGUAUAAACCAGCAAGGGUCGACAACGCAGCUUCGACAACGUGUAACUGGUGAGUUUAACAAGCAGCACUUGUGACAUAAAGAAAACACAGCAUUACAGUCUUUCCCCCAGCAAACCUUUGAGCCUGAUUCAGUGGGAUUAAUUGUCUCCUGCCCAGGGAAGGCAGCUCUGGCAGAUCGUACUGCUUUUGCCUCCAAUCUUAUAUAAAAGAUACUCCAAGGUCACUUGAGGUUGCAAACACAAUCUC
Molecule: long non-coding RNA, 637 nt
Filed under: Ursus thibetanus thibetanus
Lineage: Eukaryota; Metazoa; Chordata; Mammalia; Carnivora; Ursidae
Description: lncRNA (ENSUTTG00000011901.1)
Source: RNAcentral